This 1023-nucleotide long non-coding RNA is filed under the name Medicago truncatula (barrel medic). Its description in RNAcentral is "long non-coding RNA (MTRU_LNC004461)". The record is from RNAcentral. Lineage: Eukaryota; Viridiplantae; Streptophyta; Magnoliopsida; Fabales; Fabaceae.
AAAAGUGUCUUUUAAAAGAUGGACUCAGAUGUAAGUUGUUCAGUGACAGUUCGAUUUCAUUGGAAGUUGAUGAAAGUUCAGUUGACAAAUUUACAGGUCCAUCUUUGAAAAUCAAGUUAUAAGGUCUUUGGCUAAAGAGCUCUGAUAGUGUGGCCUCUGGAAUAUCAGUCCCCUGAUAUCCACAACAAAAAGCAAACACAAAAUUAAAAUUAAAAUCAAAAUUAAGGUGAUGAAAUCAAUUCUUCUGCAUACUUCUAAGAACAAAAAUAAAUAUAGUCGAUCUUUUAAGAGAUGGAGACAAAUGUAAGUUGUUCAGCGACAGUUCAAUUUAAUUGGAAGUUGAUGAAAGUUCUUUUGACAAAUUGACAGUUCCAUCUUUGAAAAUCAAGUCAUAAGGUCUUUGCAAAAAGGGCUCUGGUAGUGUGGCCUCUGGAAUAUCAGUCCUCUUAUAUCCACAAUAAAAUGCAAAAGAAAAAUUAAAGUGAUGAAAUCGAUUCUUUUACAUACUUCUAAGAACAAAAAUAAAUAUCGCGGAACCAGAACCAAAGAAAAGCAGUUGUCAAAAGAUAAGCAUAACCAGUAGCAAAAAAAUCUCAUAAAUCAUAAUCAUCAUUACAUUUAAAACCAAGUAUAACAUGCUUAUGUAAUCAUCAAUGAUCCAAUAUAUUUUCAACAAAUAUCAUACAACACCUUAUUAUUAUGAUUAAUACAUUUUCAACUAGUUAUAACAAGCUUCCAUCUACCUACCAUAUGGAAUCACAAAUCACAACACAGAGUACUAUGCAGAGAAUGAAAAUCUAAAUGUCACGACAGUAGUACAGAUUAAAGAAAGGGAAAUGUUAACUAGUGCCCCCGGGGCACUGGUUAAGGACUUUAAAUGGUAACCUUUUAUGAAAGUUUGUGUAAUAAAGUGCAUUGGAAAUUGAAAACUUUGACAUUUUAAAAAAAUAAUUGCUGAAUUUAGAAUGCUUAAAAAGUGUCAUGGAGGCACUCGUUAAGAUGGUGUAAAUUGCUCAUUCAAAU